CACUCCUACGGGAGGCAGCAGUGGGGAAUUUUGGACAAUGGGCGAAAGCCUGAUCCAGCCAUGCCGCGUGCAGGAUGAAGGCCUUCGGGUUGUAAACUGCUUUUGUACGGAACGAAACGGCCUUUUCUAAUAAAGAGGGCUAAUGACGGUACCGUAAGAAUAAGCACCGGCUAACUACGUGCCAGCAGCCGCGGUAAUACGUAGGGUGCAAGCGUUAAUCGGAAUUACUGGGCGUAAAGCGUGCGCAGGCGGUUAUGUAAGACAGUUGUGAAAUCCCCGGGCUCAACCUGGGAACUGCAUCUGUGACUGCAUAGCUAGAGUACGGUAGAGGGGGAUGGAAUUCCGCGUGUAGCAGUGAAAUGCGUAGGUAUGCUGAGGAACACCGAUGGCGAAGGCAAUCCCCUGGACCUGUACUGACGCUCAUGCACGAAAGCGUGGGGAGCAAACAGGAUUAGAUACCCCUGUAGUCCCA
RNAcentral lists this ribosomal RNA (472 nucleotides) under uncultured organism. RNAcentral describes it as "partial 16S ribosomal RNA". It matches the Rfam family "Bacterial small subunit ribosomal RNA", at positions 334 to 797 of the family's 1533-position model. The record is from RNAcentral.